RNAcentral lists this ribosomal RNA (253 nucleotides) under uncultured bacterium. RNAcentral describes it as "partial 16S ribosomal RNA". It matches the Rfam family "Bacterial small subunit ribosomal RNA", at positions 524 to 776 of the family's 1533-position model. The record is from RNAcentral.
GACGAACCGAGCGAACGUUAUUCGGAAUCACUGGGCUUAAAGGGCGCGUAGGCGGGCGGUCAAGUCAGGGGUGAAAGCCCCCAGCUCAACUGGGGAAGUGCCUCUGAUACUGGUCGUCUCGAGGGAGGUAGGGGCGUGCGGAACUUCCGGUGGAGCGGUGAAAUGCGUAGAUAUCAGGAGGAACACCUGCGGUGUAGACGGCUUACUGGACCAUCACUGACGCUGAGGCACGAAAGCGUGGGUAGCAAACAGG